CCAAAUUUCACUUCUGUCAGGGCCUCUAUAGACCCUGAAAUUUCUCUGGAAGUGCAUGAAGUAGCAUUGUCAAGCUAAUAACACUCACAAAACACACUUCGACGUAGCAUAUCAUUGCUGUAAUUUUCUGGUACAAAACUCACACAAGGAAGGGCUUACAAUGGAGGAAGACACACACAAACUGCUGCUGUUUCUUCUUCUCUGUUACUUCCCCGGUUUCUGCUCACUUUCGACUGCUACCCACUGCCCUUCUCUCAAUAAUUUCAGCUCCAUGUAACCUACCACUUGGAAAAAAUAAUACACUUAACACACAUUCAACUCUAGCUAACAUUAAGCUAACUCUAGCCAACUAGCCUUACAGCACAGUAACAUUAACAGUUGGUCCUGUCGGAAAAAAAGAGAUGAUAUUUGUAUAGGUAUUUUGUCAAUCAAUUUCUUACAUAAACAAAAACAAUUUUUUGUGGUCUAUAAAUUGAUCCUAUUGUUUGUUUUAAUUUAACCUUUUAAUGUGCUCUAAGGAGAAAAUUCAGCGUUAACCAUUGAGGUAGUGGAUUGAGAGCAGACUCAUCACAGGUUUAGGCCAAGAGCUCUUUCACAAGCAGAAACUGUUCCCAAUCAUCUGUGCAAACCAGCCACCAUUGUUUACCACAAUUUAAUUGUAAAAUGAGACUUCAAUGCUUGUUGCAAGCUAAGGAAGAAAUGUAAUGUGGAUGUACCAUGAGUGACACAUGCUUAAAAACUGCAUAUCCUGUCGAUAAUCACCACCUGUAAGUAUAAAACGAUUACUAUUAUAAGUUGAUAAGUGUCACGACCCGAAUCCCGGAUCCAUGACCGACACAUAGGCAAGGUUCCCCUCAAAGGUUCCAUACCUAUGCGAACCCAAACUUACACACAAACUUAUCCUAACUCAAUCAGAGUUCAACGCAGCAUUAAUAACAAAAUCAACUUCAUAAUAUAAUUGAAUUGUCUUAAUACAAGAGUUAAUAUAAUGCAGAGUUUUGGAGCACUAACUUGACAUUAAAGGAAGGUACAAAUUACAACCAAAAAGCAGGUUCGGAAGGUUCAACAAAAUGACCUGCUAUCAAGCUAUAAGCCUGAAAAGGAUAAAUAAUGAGAUGGUGAGUUCAACAACUCAGUGAGUAGAUAACGUUCAAUAUACACACACGAGGUAAUAAAACAAUGAGAAAUAUAUAUACAAGUAUGGCUUUAGGUUCUUAUGGAAAUGUUUCUCAAAUUGACCAUAACAAGAAUGUCAUAUGGUAAAACUCGUCAGAAAAUCAAAUGCAAUGAGCAUGAGGCUCCGUACUGUGGGAUGAUCAGUCCACACAGGUUGGUGACUCCCUCGACCAACUAGGGUUCAGAUACAAUGUGCACAAAGACUAACACUACCCUGUUAGCAUGGGUAUUCUGACUGACAUACCAUAGGUUCAUAAUCAUAAUCUAACAAACAUAUUCAUAUCUCAAAGCUCAACUCAUGACAUCAAUAAAAUGAAGAGCUAUCAAUUCAGAGGUCAAUUCAAAAUAUAUGUUGGUUCAUAUCAAGAAUUCAGAUUCAAUAAUUGAUCAUGCUUUAUCAUAACAAGGAUAAUAAUCAACAUAUAUAUUAUUAAGAAGCAUGAUUCAAUUCAUAUUAACAAAUCAAAUAUUUAUACUAUUUCUCAUGCAUAUGGAAAAUUAUCCACUCAUCUGACUCGAAAGCAACAAAACUCAAAGCUGAUAUCGAAGGAAAUCCUACUGACGUCCCGCCGGUAGAAUAUCAGGAUUAUCUGAAUACAAAUGAGACAUGUUCAAGAAUGACUCAAAAAAACAUAUAACCUAUUUAAUACACUUAUCUAAGGGUGUAUUCCAUAACCCUAUAUGUUUUUGAACUAACUAGUCAAUUUUCUCAAAAACCCAAAAUUUAACGGUUUUCCCGAAAUCUAAUCCAUAAUAAAACAACUAAUAAAAUUGAUAAUAAUUCACUAAAUAACCCUCAAUUAUUCAUCAAAUCAAUCUGCAAAAAUUAAUAUUACAGCUAGGGACUAAUCUGUAAUUUAUCCUAUUUUUAAGGGUCAAAUUGCAACUUUUGUCAAAUUGAAGGACCAAACUGAAAUUUGUCAUAAAUCCAUUACUAUACUGAAUUUCUGACCAUAAUUAGUCCUCAUUUCUGUCCAGAUCAUCUCAUUAUACUCCAAGGACCAUUCUGGAAUUUUACCAAAUUUUUAGGGUCAAAUUGUAAUUUUUGUCAAAUUGGAGGACUAAAUUGAAAGUGUUAAAAUUUCAUAACUAUACUAGAAUUCUGCCCUUAAUUCAUAUAUUAUUCUGUUCAGAAUCUCGGAAUAGGCUCCAGGGACCAAUCUGUAAAUUUUCCAAAGUUUGGGGACUAAAAUGUAAUUUUCCAAAAUUGAGGGACCAAACCGAAAUUGUCAUCUUCAACCUCAAACCCAGAAUUCUCACAGAUUACCUACUGUUCUUGCCAAAUUUCUAACUCAACAUUCACCAUUUACACAAUUCAUAACUCAAAAUCAUCACAAUCUUCCAUAAUCAACUCAUUAAUCAAUUACCCAUAACAAUCAACCUUAUAACAUUCAAUUUAAUUCAUCAAUUAACCCAAAACACAAAUUUUCAAAACCCUAACAUUCAUCAAAACUGAAAUUAAAGCUUAAUUAACACAUAUUUAUACAUAAUCUUACCUUUAAACUUAUUUUCUUCAACUCCUUUCUAUUUCCCUUCUAAUUUCCCUCUUUUCUCUUCUUCUUCUUCUUUCUCCCUUCUCUCUCACGGUUUGCUCUCUCAAAUAUUCAGAUCUCCUUUUUUUUUUCUUCUUUCUAUUUAUAUUUAUCAUCUCUUUAUUCAAUUACUACUAUACCCCUCAUUCAUUUAUUCCAAC
This 2869-nucleotide long non-coding RNA is filed under the name Populus trichocarpa (black cottonwood). RNAcentral describes it as "long non-coding RNA (PTRI_LNC001118)". The record is from RNAcentral. Lineage: Eukaryota; Viridiplantae; Streptophyta; Magnoliopsida; Malpighiales; Salicaceae.